GGUGAAGGAACAUCAAAGGGAAAGGAGAUAGCUAGAGAUUAGAAGAGGAAAAGAAAGGAGGAAUUCAAGAAAGGUUGUAGAUAAAAUAGGGCAACAGAAGUUAUCAGAGAUCUACAUCAGAUAUCAAGGCCAUCAUCAUAGCUGGUUGUUUUGAGUCUCGGAGUCAUAGUACAGUUUUAUUUUGGCAUGUACAUAUUAAAUAGAGUGAGUUGUGAAGGUUAUGUAAAUCAAAGAAUAGUAAGAUAUCAAGUGACAGUUGUUAGUGUUAUUAUAAGUGUGAUGUUCAUAUGUAUUACAGGUUAAAGUGCUAAUGAAACAGAGAAAACUCUGCCGAAAAUUUUGGUUUAAAAAUCUCACGCUUAUUUUAAUCUUGAUGAAAGUUACUUACAUAACUAAAAUUGGUAUUUACAGAUAAAGGUAAUUGUUUAGUCUUGAUAUGUCUAAAAGGUAUAGUUUGUGACAUUCCUUACUCUGUCUACACUUUGAUAGGGUAAGGGGUGUUACAAUUAGUGGUAUCAGAGCAAAGGUUUAGGCGAUUCUAGGUCAUAGUAUGUAUGUGUAUAUGUGUCAUAUAUAUACAUGCCAAAAAUGAGUUACAGCUAUGGUAUGGUUCUGAUGUAAAUCUCUUCUUUGUGU
Long non-coding RNA from Manihot esculenta (cassava), 636 nucleotides. RefSeq lists it as uncharacterized. The record is from RefSeq and is a predicted model, not a curated record. NCBI's taxonomy places the organism in Eukaryota, Viridiplantae, Streptophyta, Magnoliopsida, Malpighiales, Euphorbiaceae. The transcript is spliced from 2 exons.